AAAGCACUCUGUGUGGGGAACAUGAGAGCCAGACCAAAGCUCAGAGGAACCAGCCUGGACCUCCACCCAGCUCUGUGUCCUGUAAGAGUGACGCGUCUAAAGAUGACUUCAUUAAUUUCAAAGUCUCUGCUGCAGAGAGAGGUCAGAGGUCACAGUCUGCAGGAUCCAGCUGUCCGUCGGUGAGGAGUGAUGGGUCCAAAGAUUACCCUCUAGACUUCAGUGGUGAACCUGGACCAACGAGAGAGAGGAAGAGGAGUGGUGUUUGUGAGGAGGAGCAGCUGUCCUGCUGUGCUUUGUGUCAGGACGUCCUGAAGGAUCCAGUCUCUACCAGCUGUGGACACUGGUUCUGCAGACAGUGCAUCUCCUCAUACUGGGACCAGUCUGCUUCAUCGGGAGACUCCUCCUGUCCCCAGUGUGGAGAAAGAUCCAGAAGCAGAGCUGGACUGCAGACAGCCAGUCAGAGCAGCUGUGUACAAACAGAUGUUGGUCUGCAG
Molecule: non-coding RNA, 494 nt
Organism: Maylandia zebra (zebra mbuna)
Lineage: Eukaryota; Metazoa; Chordata; Actinopteri; Cichliformes; Cichlidae
Source: RefSeq, a predicted model, not a curated record